This 480-nucleotide ribosomal RNA is filed under the name uncultured soil bacterium. RNAcentral describes it as "bacterial SSU rRNA". It matches the Rfam family "Bacterial small subunit ribosomal RNA", at positions 26 to 506 of the family's 1533-position model. The record is from RNAcentral.
AGAUUGAACGCUGGCGGCAGGCCUAACACAUGCAAGUCGAGCGGUAGAGAGGUGCUUGCAUCUCUUGAGAGCGGCGGACGGGUGAGUAAUGCCUAGGAAUCUGCCUAGUGGUGGGGGAUAACGUUCGGAAACGGACGCUAAUACCGCAUACGUCCUACGGGAGAAAGCGGGGGACCUUCGGGCCUCGCGCCAUUAGAUGAGCCUAGGUCGGAUUAGCUAGUUGGUGAGGUAAUGGCUCACCAAGGCGACGAUCCGUAACUGGUCUGAGAGGAUGAUCAGUCACACUGGAACUGAGACACGGUCCAGACUCCUACGGGAGCAGCAGUGGGAAUAUUGGACAAUGGGCGAAAGCCUGAUCCAGCCAUGCCGCGUGUGUGAAGAAGGUCUUCGGAUUGUAAAGCACUUUAAGUUGGAGGAAGGCAGUUACCUAAUACGUAUCUGUUUGACGUUACCGACAGAAUAAGCACCGGCUAACUCUGU